GCUGCCCGGAGUCCUGCGUCCCGCUGCCCCGCAGACAGCUCUGUUUAGAAGUGAUUAAGGACGCGAGCCAGGGAGACUGGAUGGAAAAGGGUUAGAGGAACCUCAGCCACACCAUCUGGAGGCCCGGCGGGCAUGCACACCUCCUCCAGGCAGCCCCCCCGCCACACACACACCCUAGGAAACGCUCUGAACACCUCGG
This 199-nucleotide long non-coding RNA is filed under the name Mustela putorius furo (domestic ferret). RNAcentral describes it as "lncRNA (ENSMPUG00000029566.1)". Lineage: Eukaryota; Metazoa; Chordata; Mammalia; Carnivora; Mustelidae. The record is from RNAcentral.